This 253-nucleotide ribosomal RNA is filed under the name uncultured bacterium. RNAcentral describes it as "partial 16S ribosomal RNA". It matches the Rfam family "Bacterial small subunit ribosomal RNA", at positions 524 to 776 of the family's 1533-position model. The record is from RNAcentral.
UACGUAGGGGGCAAGCGUUGUCCGGAAUCAUUGGGCGUAAAGAGCGUGUAGGCGGCCUGAUAAGUCGGCUGUGAAAGUCAAGGGCUCAACCCUUGAAUGCCGGCCGAUACUGUCAGGCUAGAGUCCGGAAGAGGCGAGUGGAAUUCCUGGUGUAGCGGUGAAAUGCGCAGAUAUCAGGAGGAACACCGGUGGCGAAGGCGGGUCUCUGGGCCGAUACUGACGCUGAGGAGCGAAAGCGUGGGGAGCGAACAGG